RNAcentral lists this ribosomal RNA (1603 nucleotides) under Tulostoma winterhoffii. RNAcentral's name for it is "eukaryotic LSU rRNA". The stretch from base 648 to 1603 matches the Rfam family "Eukaryotic large subunit ribosomal RNA", at positions 1 to 944 of the family's 3401-position model. The record is from RNAcentral. Lineage: Eukaryota; Fungi; Basidiomycota; Agaricomycetes; Agaricales; Agaricaceae.
CAUUAUUGAAUAAACUUGAUGGGUUGUUGCUGGCUUCUAGGAGCAUGUGCACGCCUGUCAUCUUUAUCCAUCCACCUGUGCACCUUCUGUAGUCUUGGAGGUAAUGAGCGUGAAACUCGUCGGGGUAAACCAAUUUAUUGGUCCUCGGAAAGAGGCCUGCCACACGAAAGUAUGGCUGACCUUGGUACUCGCGCAAGUUUCUUCGAGUCUAUGUCUUUCAUAUACCACGUAAAAUGUCUUAGAAUGAUUUUAUUAGGACUUAGUGCCUAUAAAACACAAUACAACUUUCAGCAACGGAUCUCUUGGCUCUCGCAUCGAUGAAGAACGCAGCGAAAUGCGAUAAGUAAUGUGAAUUGCAGAAUUCAGUGAAUCAUCGAAUCUUUGAACGCACCUUGCGCUCCUUGGUAUUCCGAGGAGCAUGCCUGUUUGAGUGUCAUUUAAUUCUCAACCCCUCUAGCUUUUGUAGCUGGUUUGGGGCUUGGAUGUGGGGGAUUGCGGGCCUCUGUAGAGGUCGGCUCCUCUGAAAUGUAUUAGCGGAACCGUUUGCGGGUCUGUCACUGGUGUGAUAAUUAUCUUACCAACGACAACUGCUCUCUGGCAAUUCUGCUUCUAACUGUCCUCAUUGUGGACAAUAUUAUAUUAAUGCUUGACCUCAAAUCAGGUAGGACUACCCGCUGAACUUAAGCAUAUCAAUAAGCGGAGGAAAAGAAACUAACAAGGAUUCCCCUAGUAACUGCGAGUGAAGCGGGAAAAGCUCAAAUUUAAAAUCUGGCGGUCUUUGGCCGUCCGAGUUGUAAUCUAGAGAAGCGUCACCCGCGCUGGACCGUGUACAAGUCUCCUGGAAUGGAGCGUCAUAGAGGGUGAGAAUCCCGUCUUUGACACGGACUACCAGGGCUUUGUGGUGCGCUCUCAAAGAGUCGAGUUGUUUGGGAAUGCAGCUCUAAAUGGGUGGUAAAUUCCAUCUAAAGCUAAAUAUUGGCGAGAGACCGAUAGCGAACAAGUACCGUGAGGGAAAGAUGAAAAGAACUUUGGAAAGAGAGUUAAACAGUACGUGAAAUUGCUGAAAGGGAAACGCUUGAAGUCAGUCGCGUUGGCCAGGGAUCAGCCUCGCUUUUGCGUGGUGUACUUUCUGGUUGACGGGUCAGCAUCAAUUUUGACCGCUGGAAAAAGGCUUGGGGAAUGUGGCAUCUUCGGAUGUGUUAUAGCCCCUUGUCGUAUACAGCGGUUGGGAUUGAGGAACUCAGCACGCCGCAAGGCCGGGUUUCGACCACGUUCGUGCUUAGGAUGCUGGCAUAAUGGCUUUAAUCGACCCGUCUUGAAACACGGACCAAGGAGUCUAACAUGCCUGCGAGUGUUUGGGUGGAAAACCCGAGCGCGUAAUGAAAGUGAAAGUUGAGAUCCCUGUCGCGGGGAGCAUCGACGCCCGGACCAGAACUUUUGGGACGGAUCUGCGGUAGAGCAUGUAUGUUGGGACCCGAAAGAUGGUGAACUAUGCCUGAAUAGGGUGAAGCCAGAGGAAACUCUGGUGGAGGCUCGUAGCGAUUCUGACGUGCAAAUCGAUCGUCAAAUUUGGGUAUAGGGGCGAAAGACUAAUCGAACCAUC